UGAGGCUUGAAUUUCUGUCAUUGUGAGUAAUGAUGCUACGUCGUCUUGGGAGGGGAAAGCGAGAGUUUGUGGUGGAUAACAACGAUGCUAAAGCAUACCUGUUGUUGAAUGUGAUUAACAAUUAAUGUCAAUUAAAGCUAAAUAAAAUAAAUAAAUAGGAGAGAGAUAGAGAGAGAAAUAGGAAAGUGACCACCUGUGGUGAUUAAGGAGGAGGGGUUGAGAGCGAGGAAAUUGAACAAGUGAGGAGGAAGGAACAAACAGAGUCGACAUGAUUUAUUGCUUGUGUUAAGACUUCAGAGCUUUCUUCUUUCUUCUUCUUUCUUCUUUUGUGAAGCUGGGACUGUAUUUUUACCAAGAAAUUAAGAUUAAUGGAGGAGCGAGGUUAUAGAUAUAUAUUGAUGGAAAGCAAGCAAGCAAGCCAGCCAGCCAAGUGUUGUGUGGUUAUAUGGGUGAGUCAUUGCCACCUGCAUGCUUGGCUCAG
RNAcentral lists this long non-coding RNA (481 nucleotides) under Panax ginseng (ginseng). RNAcentral's name for it is "long non-coding RNA (PGIN_LNC000720)". Lineage: Eukaryota; Viridiplantae; Streptophyta; Magnoliopsida; Apiales; Araliaceae. The record is from RNAcentral.